RNAcentral lists this transfer RNA (89 nucleotides) under Caudoviricetes sp. RNAcentral's name for it is "tRNA-Ser". It matches the Rfam family "tRNA". Rfam says of the family: Transfer RNA (tRNA) molecules are approximately 80 nucleotides in length. Their secondary structure includes four short double-helical elements and three loops (D, anti-codon, and T loops). The record is from RNAcentral. Lineage: Duplodnaviria; Heunggongvirae; Uroviricota; Caudoviricetes.
GGAGGAUUAGCCUAAUGGUAAGGCAUCAGUCUUGAAAACUGACGUGCGAUGAAAGUCGUUUGUGGGUUCGAGUCCCAUGUCCUCCUCCA